RNAcentral lists this ribosomal RNA (436 nucleotides) under Corynebacterium jeikeium. RNAcentral describes it as "bacterial SSU rRNA". It matches the Rfam family "Bacterial small subunit ribosomal RNA", at positions 38 to 483 of the family's 1533-position model. Lineage: Bacteria; Bacillati; Actinomycetota; Actinomycetes; Mycobacteriales; Corynebacteriaceae. The record is from RNAcentral.
GGCGGCGUGCUUAACACAUGCAAGUCGAACGGAAAGGCCCUGCUUGCAAGGGGUACUCGAGUGGCGAACGGGUGAGUAACACGUGGGUGAUCUGCCUUGCACUUCGGGAUAAGCCUGGGAAACUGGGUCUAAUACCGGAUAGGACCAUGCUUUAGUGUGUGUGGUGGAAAGUUUUUUCGGUGCAAGAUGAGCCCGCGGCCUAUCAGCUUGUUGGUGGGGUAAUGGCCUACCAAGGCGACGACGGGUAGCCGGCCUGAGAGGGUGUACGGCCACAUUGGGACUGAGACACGGCCCAGACUCCUACGGGAGGCAGCAGUGGGGAAUAUUGCACAAUGGGCGCAAGCCUGAUGCAGCGACGCCGCGUGGGGGAUGAAGGCCUUCGGGUUGUAAACUCCUUUCGCUAGGGAAGAAGCCACUUGUGGUGACGGUACCUGGA